GUGAUCACUUUGGCAGCACAUAUACUAAAUUGGAAUGAUACAGAGAAGAUUAGCAUGUUCCCUGUGCAAGGAUGACACACAAAUUUGUGAAAAGUUCCAUAUUUUU
This 106-nucleotide small nuclear RNA is filed under the name Urocitellus parryii (Arctic ground squirrel). Lineage: Eukaryota; Metazoa; Chordata; Mammalia; Rodentia; Sciuridae. The record is from RNAcentral.